UACGAAGGCCCCGAGCGUUAUCCGGAAUUAUUGGGCGUAAAGGGUGCGUAGGUGGUUUUGCGCGUCUGUUGUUAAAUGUCACAGCUCAACUGUGUCACCGCAGUGGAUACGGCAAGACUAGAGGGUGCGAGAGGUCUGUGGAACUCACGGUGUAGGGGUGAAAUCCGUUGAUAUCGUGGGGAACACCAAAGGCGAAGGCAGCAGACUGGCGCAUUUCUGACACUGAGGCACGAAAGCGUGGGGAGCAAAAAGG
RNAcentral lists this ribosomal RNA (253 nucleotides) under uncultured bacterium. Its description in RNAcentral is "partial 16S ribosomal RNA". It matches the Rfam family "Bacterial small subunit ribosomal RNA", at positions 524 to 776 of the family's 1533-position model. The record is from RNAcentral.